RNAcentral lists this signal recognition particle RNA (299 nucleotides) under Cebus imitator (Panamanian white-faced capuchin). RNAcentral's name for it is "Metazoan signal recognition particle RNA (ENSCCAG00000000767.1)". It matches the Rfam family "Metazoan signal recognition particle RNA". From Rfam's summary of the family: The signal recognition particle (SRP) is a universally conserved ribonucleoprotein. It is involved in the co-translational targeting of proteins to membranes. The record is from RNAcentral. Lineage: Eukaryota; Metazoa; Chordata; Mammalia; Primates; Cebidae.
GCCAGGCGUGGUGGCGCGUGUCUGUAGUCCCAGCUACAUGGGAGGCUGAGGCUGGAGGAUCUCCUGAGUCCGGGAGUUCUGGGCUGUAGUGCGCUAUGCCAAUCGGGUGUCCACACUAAGUUCGGCAUCAAUAUGGUGAACUCCAGGGAGCGGGGGACCACCAGGUUGCCUAAGGAGGGGUGAACCGGCCCAGGUCAGAAACGGAGCAGGUCAAAACUCCCUUACUGAUCAGUAGUGGGAUUGUGCCGGUGAAUAGCCACUGCACUCCAGCCUGGGCAACAUAGCGAGACCCUGUCUCU